GGCUGGUCCGAUGGUAGUGGGUUAUCAGAACUUGUUAACAUUAGUGUCACUAAAGUUGGUAUUCAACCCCCCACUGCUAAAUUUGACUGGCUUUAA
RNAcentral lists this Y RNA (96 nucleotides) under Prolemur simus (greater bamboo lemur). RNAcentral's name for it is "Y RNA (ENSPSMG00000006432.1)". It matches the Rfam family "Y RNA". From Rfam's summary of the family: Y RNAs are components of the Ro ribonucleoprotein particle (Ro RNP), in association with Ro60 and La proteins. The Y RNAs and Ro60 and La proteins are well conserved, but the function of the Ro RNP is not known. The record is from Rfam by way of RNAcentral. Lineage: Eukaryota; Metazoa; Chordata; Mammalia; Primates; Lemuridae.